GACGAACGCUGGCGGCGUGCUUAACACAUGCAAGUCGAACGGAAAGGCCCCGCUUUUUUCGGGUGCUCGACUGGCGAACGGGUGAUUCACCCGUGAGUAACCUGCCCUUGGGUUUGGGGUAACUUCAGGAAACUGGGUAUAAUACCCGAUCUGAGCUCCUGCUCCAUGGUCGGGGAUGGAAAGUUUAGGCGGUUCGGGAUAGGCGCGCGUCUUAUCUGGUUGUUGGUGGGGCAUUGGCAUACCAAGACUUUGACGGGUACCCGGCCUGUGAGGGUGACCGGCCACAUGGGGCCUACGGUACGGCGCAGACGCCUACGGGAGGCAGAAGUGGCGAAUAUGGCACAAUGGGCGGAAGCGUAAUGCAGCAGCGCCGCGUGCGUGAUGACGGCCUUCGGGUUGUAAACCGCUUUCGCCUAUGACGAAGCGUGAGUGACGGUAAUGGAUAAAGAAGCACCGGCUAAUUACGUG
This 468-nucleotide ribosomal RNA is filed under the name uncultured bacterium. Its description in RNAcentral is "partial 16S ribosomal RNA". It matches the Rfam family "Bacterial small subunit ribosomal RNA", at positions 28 to 507 of the family's 1533-position model. The record is from RNAcentral.